RNAcentral lists this ribosomal RNA (568 nucleotides) under Scheffersomyces stipitis. RNAcentral's name for it is "partial large subunit ribosomal RNA". It matches the Rfam family "Eukaryotic large subunit ribosomal RNA", at positions 62 to 648 of the family's 3401-position model. The record is from RNAcentral. Lineage: Eukaryota; Fungi; Ascomycota; Pichiomycetes; Serinales; Debaryomycetaceae. RNAcentral also lists the same sequence under 2 other names.
AAACCAACAGGGAUUGCCUUAGUAACGGCGAGUGAAGCGGCAAAAGCUCAAAUUUGAAAUCUGGCACCUUCGGUGUCCGAGUUGUAAUUUGAAGAAGGUAACUUUGGAGUCAGCUCUUGUCUAUGUUCCUUGGAACAGGACGUCACAGAGGGUGAGAAUCCCGUGCGAUGAGAUGUCUGAUUCUAUGUAAAGUGCUUUCGAAGAGUCGAGUUGUUUGGGAAUGCAGCUCUAAGUGGGUGGUAAAUUCCAUCUAAAGCUAAAUAUUGGCGAGAGACCGAUAGCGAACAAGUACAGUGAUGGAAAGAUGAAAAGAACUUUGAAAAGAGAGUGAAAAAGUACGUGAAAUUGUUGAAAGGGAAGGGUUUGAGAUCAGACUUGGUAUUUUGUAUGUCUUGCUUUCGGGUGGGGCCUCUACAGUUUACUGGGCCAGCAUCGGUUUGGACGGUAGGAUAAUGACAUUGGAAUGUGGCACCACUUCGGUGGUGUGUUAUAGACUUUGUUGAUACUGCCUGUCUAGACCGAGGACUGCGUCUUUGACUAGGAUGCUGGCAUAAUGAUCUUAAACCGC